CCAUUUGUAUGGCAAAGGUGAAAGAAGAGCCUCAUGAAGCUUGCGAGGAUAGCAAUGAGAUAGUGAGAUUUUCAUAGGUAGGGUGAAAGCACGUGAGAAUGAUGGUAAGAUAGCAAAGAUUAUGAUAGGACGUCAAUGGGUAGAGUGAUGGGGUCUUAUUAUUAGGUGGAGGCAACGAGGGAUAUUUACAAGAUAAAAAAAAUAAGAGACAUUAUUUGAAAAAAAAAAAAAAGAGGCAUCUUAAGAGAAAAGAAAAAAAUAGUUUUUUUUAAAUCACCCAUAGAUUUAAUGCUAUUAUUAUAGUUACAAAUUAAGAGAUGACAACCCCUUACUUCAUAUAAUAAUUAAAAUAAUAAUUUUAUUAAAGACAAUCCCUCAAUUACUAAUCAUAUUCUUAUUUCUCAUGAUUUUUUUAUUAUUAUUAGUUUAUACAAUCCAUUUCAUUUGUAGGUUAAUCAUCUAUAUGAGUAUCGUUAUCAGAACCUUAACUAUGUCUUUUCCUGAUCAUCAAGAUGAUUAGGAGGAGGAGAAAAAAAAAAGAGAAGGGGAACAAAAAAAAGGAGUAUAUAGAAGAAGUUUAAAAGGUGUUAAAAUUAAAUGAUGACAUUUCUAGAAGGUGUCUUAAGAAUAUUACAAAUAAUUAAAUUAAAAAUAUAAAUAUAAAUAAUAAAAAUCUCUCCUUUUAUAUCGUCAGCUAUUGAAUUUAUAGACAGAGUUCUGGAAUGAGAUCAACG
Molecule: long non-coding RNA, 734 nt
Filed under: Musa acuminata (dwarf banana)
Lineage: Eukaryota; Viridiplantae; Streptophyta; Magnoliopsida; Zingiberales; Musaceae
Description: long non-coding RNA (MACU_LNC007887)
Source: RNAcentral